CCUACGGGAGGCAGCAGUAAGGAAUAUUGGUCAAUGGACGGAAGUCUGAACCAGCCAUGCCGCGCUGGAGGAUGAAGGUCCUCUGGAUUGUAAACUUCUUUUAUCUGGGAAGAAAAUGCUUUUUUUCUAAAGAGCUUGACGGUACCAGAUGAAUAAGCACCGGCUAACUCCKUGCCAGCAGCCGCGGUAAU
This 191-nucleotide ribosomal RNA is filed under the name uncultured bacterium. Its description in RNAcentral is "partial 16S rRNA". It matches the Rfam family "Bacterial small subunit ribosomal RNA", at positions 338 to 524 of the family's 1533-position model. The record is from RNAcentral.